UACAGAGGGGGCAAGCGUUGUUCGGAAUUACUGGGCGUAAAGGGCGCGUAGGCGGCCUGUUAAGUCGAACGUGAAAUCCCCGGGCUCAACCCGGGAACUGCGUCCGAUACUGGCUGGCUUGAAUCCGGGAGAGGGAUGCGGAAUUCCGGGUGUAGCGGUGAAAUGCGUAGAUAUCUGGAGGAACACCGGUGGCGAAGGCGGCAUCCUGGACCGGUAUUGACGCUGAGGCGCGAAAGCCAGGGGAGCAAACGGG
RNAcentral lists this ribosomal RNA (253 nucleotides) under uncultured bacterium. RNAcentral's name for it is "partial 16S ribosomal RNA". It matches the Rfam family "Bacterial small subunit ribosomal RNA", at positions 524 to 776 of the family's 1533-position model. The record is from RNAcentral.